RNAcentral lists this ribosomal RNA (497 nucleotides) under uncultured bacterium. RNAcentral describes it as "partial 16S ribosomal RNA". It matches the Rfam family "Bacterial small subunit ribosomal RNA", at positions 28 to 507 of the family's 1533-position model. The record is from RNAcentral.
GAUGAACGCUGGCGGCGUGCCUAAUACAUGCAAGCCGAGCGAACGGACGAGAAGCUUGCUUCUCUGAUGUUAGCGGCGGACGGGUGAGUAACACAUGGAUAACCUACCUAUAAGACUGGGAUAACUUCGGGAAACCGGAGCUAAUACCGGAUAAUAUUUUGAACCGCAUGGUUCAAAAGUAAAAGACGGUCUUGCUGUCACUUAUAGAUGGAUCCGCGCUGCAUUAGCUAGUUGGUAAGGUAACGGCUUACCAAGGCAACGAUGCAUAGCCGACCUGAGAGGGUGAUCGGCCACACUGGAACUGAGACACGGUCCAGACUCCUACGGGAGGCAGCAGUAGGGAAUCUUCCGCAAUGGGCGAAAGCCUGACGGAGCAACGCCGCGUGAGUGAUGAAGGUCUUCGGAUCGUAAAACUCUGUUAUUAGGGAAGAACAUAUGUGUAAGUAACUGUGCACAUCUUGACGGUACCUAAUCAGAAAGCCACGGCUAACUACGUG